UACAGAGGUCUCAAGCGUUGUUCGGAUUCAUUGGGCGUAAAGGGUGCGUAGGCGGCGCGGUAAGUCGGGUGUGAAAUCUCGGAGCUCAACCCCGAAACUGCACUUGAUACUGCCUUGCUCGAGUACUGGAGAGGAGACUGGAAUUUACGGUGUAGCAGUGAGAUGCGUAGAUAUCGUAAGGAAGACCAGUGGCGAAGGCGAGUCUCUGGACAGUUACUGACACUGAGGCACGAAGGCCAGGGGAGCAAACGGG
RNAcentral lists this ribosomal RNA (253 nucleotides) under uncultured bacterium. RNAcentral describes it as "partial 16S ribosomal RNA". It matches the Rfam family "Bacterial small subunit ribosomal RNA", at positions 524 to 776 of the family's 1533-position model. The record is from RNAcentral.